AUGCCACGUGCUGAUGGUCCCUUUAAGGUGUUAGAGAAAAUAAAUGAUAAUGCAUAUAAACUUGAGCUGCCUGCAGAUUUUGGGGUUAGUCCCACUUUUAACAUUGCAGAUUUGAAGCCUUAUUUGGGUGAGGAAGAUGAACUUCCGUUGAGGACGACUUCAUUUCAAGAAGGGGAGGAUGAUGAGGACAUCAAUACAAUUGUUACACCCACAGCCCCUGCUGCUAUACAUACUGGACCAAUUACUAGAGCUCGUGCACGCCAACUAAACUACCAGGUACUUUCGUUUCUUGGUAAUGAUUCUAAUGUUCAUGAGAAUAUGAUGCUGCCUAAAUUGGAUACAUUUGUUUUGCUUACAAAUGAAGGGCCUAGCUUGGAGAAGGAUGAACAUUGGAGC
Molecule: ribosomal RNA, 396 nt
Filed under: Triticum aestivum (bread wheat)
Lineage: Eukaryota; Viridiplantae; Streptophyta; Magnoliopsida; Poales; Poaceae
Description: partial small subunit ribosomal RNA
Source: RNAcentral